This 286-nucleotide long non-coding RNA is filed under the name Bos taurus (domestic cattle). RNAcentral describes it as "long non-coding RNA NONBTAT018539". The record is from RNAcentral. Lineage: Eukaryota; Metazoa; Chordata; Mammalia; Artiodactyla; Bovidae.
UGUACAUUAAGCAACAUAAUAUACACCAUUGUCCUGUGUAACACAGCUUUGAUUUCAUUUAUAAAUCUAAAUGUUCCUUUAUUAAAUAUUGCAUUCUGUAUUUGUUAAUCUUGUCAUUCUUUUAAAUUGAUUGAUCAAAUGUGUUGUUUUUCUUUGGAUUUACUCAAAAAGAGCCACUCAGUUUCCAAAUGUGACUAGGCUAUACAGAAAAUACUUUAUUAAAGUAAUUUAAAAUUCUUAUAAAAUGAAUACUCCAGCUAAAGAUAUAUUUUAAAAAUCUAGUAAU